Long non-coding RNA from Carassius auratus (goldfish), 130 nucleotides. RefSeq lists it as uncharacterized. The record is from RefSeq and is a predicted model, not a curated record. NCBI's taxonomy places the organism in Eukaryota, Metazoa, Chordata, Actinopteri, Cypriniformes, Cyprinidae. The transcript is spliced from 3 exons.
CGAGGCUGUAACUGUAGAGUUGCUUCAUACUUCUAAAUGGAUGUGAGAAGAUGUGAUCAUCAUAGAAUGUAACUCAAAACAAAGCAGGGGCAGACAGACGCUUGGAGAAAAUGGAAAGUGUUGUCUUUUA